Labeo rohita (rohu) is the source of this 198-nucleotide long non-coding RNA. RefSeq lists it as uncharacterized. The transcript has 2 exons. The record is from RefSeq and is a predicted model, not a curated record. Lineage: Eukaryota; Metazoa; Chordata; Actinopteri; Cypriniformes; Cyprinidae.
UCUCAUUCUGACGGCACCCAUUCACUGCAGAGGAUCCACUGACUUCACACCUGCUUACCAAGCAUUGGAGAAGAUGCCGUAUAUCACCCCAAUGCGUUGAUGAGAGGCCAGAACGAAAGCCUGCUUGAAGUUGUUGUACUGUACAGGAGUUCCAGCUUUCCCACACAUCACACGAGCCUUCAGGAACGUAGUCCAGGA